AGGGAUCAUUAUCGAGUUACCAACUCCAAACCUUUGUGAACCUUACCACAGUUGCUUCGGCGGCCCCGCCCCGGGCGCCUCGGGAUCCCCCCCCUAGGGGGCCCCGCGGGCGACCCGGACCCAGGCGACCGCCGGGGGACCCAAACUCUUGUCUUUUAGUGUAUUAUCUGAGUGGCAUAAGCAAAUAAAUUAAAACUUUCAGCAACGGAUCUCUUGGUUCUGGCAUCGAUGAAGAACGCAGCGAAAUGCGAUAAGUAAUGUGAAUUGCAGAAUUCAGUGAAUCAUCGAAUCUUUGAACGCACAUUGCGCCCGCCAGUACUCUGGCGGGCAUGCCUGUCCGAGCGUCAUUUCAACCCUCAGCACCCCCGUUCGCGGCGGGAGCUGGCGUUGGGGAUCGGCCGUCCUCUGCGGCGGCCGGCCCCGAAACGAAGUGGCGGUCACGUCGCGACCUCCUCUGCGUAGUAGCAAUAUCUCGCAGCCUGGAUAGCGGCGCGGCCACGCCGUAAAACCCCAACUAUACCAAGGUUGACCUCGGAUCAGGUAGGAAUACCCGCUGAACUUAA
Molecule: ribosomal RNA, 563 nt
Filed under: Geosmithia morbida
Lineage: Eukaryota; Fungi; Ascomycota; Sordariomycetes; Hypocreales; Bionectriaceae
Description: eukaryotic LSU rRNA
Rfam family: 5.8S ribosomal RNA (bases 194-347)
Source: RNAcentral